Molecule: ribosomal RNA, 1909 nt
Filed under: human gut metagenome
Description: bacterial LSU rRNA
Rfam family: Bacterial large subunit ribosomal RNA
Source: RNAcentral
CGUAACAGCUCACUGGUCUAGUGGUUCCGCGCCGACAAUGUAGCGGGGCUCAAGCACACCACCGAAGACGCGGCAGUAUUUUGUACUGGGUAGGAGAGCGUCCCAUGAGGGGCGAAGCGGCCGUGUGAACGCGCCGUGGACUUCAUGGGAGUGAGAAUGCAGACAUGAGUAGCGAGAGACGGGUGAAGAUCCCGUCCGCUGGAUGACCAAGGGUUCCAGGGCCACGUUCAUCGUCCCUGGGUGAGUCGGGUCCUAAGGCGAGGCCGACAGGCGUAGUCGAAUGGAUGAACGGGUCGAUAUUCCCGUACCGGCUUUCAGCCGCCAAAACCGAGGCUUGGAGUACUAACCUCCGGGUCCGGGCUUACUGCUCCUUCGGGGGCGGGAUGCCCUGGCCUGUUGGGACCGAUCCUUGUAGUAGGUCAGCGCAGGAGUGACGCAGAAGGGUAGCCGGCCGCGGAGGUGGUCUUCCGUGGUCAAGCACGCAGGGCGUGGGACAGGCAAAUCCGUCCCGCAUGGGUCCGAGGUGCGAUGAUGGGGGCCUUAUGGCCCGAUAUCCGGUGAUCCCGGCUGCCGAGAAAAGCUUCGGCGUCAGGCUCGAAGCCGCCCGUACCCCAAACCGACACUGGUGGUCAGGUAGAGAAUACCAAAGCGAUCGAGCGAAUCCUGGUCAAGGAACUCGGCAAAUCACUCCCGUUCCUUCGGUUUAAGGGAGACCCCCGAUGGUGAACACACUUGCUGUGGGAGCUUUUGGGGGUGGCACAGACCAGGGGGUAGCGACUGUUUACCAAAAACACAGGUGCAUGCGAAGGCGCAAGCCGCUGUAUAUGCACUGACGCCUGCCCGGUGCCGGAAGGUUAAGAGGAUCCGUCAGCCUUCGGGUGAAGCGGUGAAUUCAAGCCCCGGUAAACGGCGGUGGUAACUAUAACCAUCCUAAGGUAGCGAAAUUCCUUGUCGGGUAAGUUCCGACCUGCACGAAUGGCGUAACGACUUCCCCACUGUCUCGACCAGGAGCUCGGCGAAAUUGCAGUACGAGUAAAGAUGCUCGUUAAGCGCAGAAGGACGAAAAGACCCCGGGACCUUUACUAUACCUUGGUAUUGGCAUUCGGUGUGGAUUGUGUAGCAUAGGCGGGAGGCCGAGAGGCGCGGUCGCCAGAUCGCGCGGAGCCGUAAGGUGAAAUACCGCUCUGUUCGCAUUGGAUGUCUAACCUCGAACAGUCAUCCUGUUCAGGGACAGUGCCUGGCGGGUAGUUUAACUGGGGCGGUUGCCUCCCAAAGAGUAACGGAGGCGCCCAAAGGUCCGCUCAGCCCGGUUGGCAAUCGGGUGGCGAGUGCAAGUGCACAAGCGGGCUUGACUGCGAGGACGACGGUCCGAGCAGGGACGAAAGUCGGGACUAGUGAUCCGGUGCCGGUGUACGGACGCGGCAUCGCUCAACGGAUAAAAGGUACCCCGGGGAUAACAGGCUGAUCAUUCCCAAGAGUCCAUAUCGACGGGAUGGUUUGGCACCUCGAUGUCGGCUCGUCGCAUCCUGGGGCUGGAGCAGGUCCCAAGGGUUCGGCUGUUCGCCGAUUAAAGCGGCACGCGAGCUGGGUUCAGAACGUCGUGAGACAGUUUGGUCUCUAUCCUCUGCGCUCGUUGGAAUCCUGAGGAGGCCUGCCCAUAGUACGAGAGGACCUGGGUGGACGGACCUCUGGUAUGCCGGUUGUCGCGCCAGCGGCAUGGCCGGUUGGCUACGUUCGGGAGGGAUAACCGCUGAAAGCAUCUAAGCGGGAAGCCUGCUCCAAGAUUAGGAUUCCUUGACGCUCUCCGGAGCGUUUGUAGCCCGCAUGUUGAACACGUGUUCGAUAGGCCGGAGGUGGAAGUCCCGCGAGGGGUGGAGCCGACCGGUACUAACGGGCGAACGCGGCACAC